AUGGAAACCGUGCAUCCUGAGAGCACCAGGUUUUCUUCGUGGUGAUGGGGGCGCUGAGGAAAGAGGAGAACAAAGUGUUACCUCUACCCAAGACUCCUAAGUGGGAAAAUGAAAUCUAGCUAAAAGGGUGUCGUGUUUCAAGAAGACACUGAACUCAUCUGAUCCAUUCAACAACUUCAAGAGAUGGGUUUAAGGAUCCCCAUAGACACCUAGGCAGUCAGGUUCACAAAGCGAAAUGGGACAGCAUACGUGACUCAACAUUUCCCGAAGCUCUACAGCCUUCUUUACAAUGACCAUUCAUUCGUCUACCCAAGGAAAAACUUCAUCUCUGGAUUACUAGUUGUUUUGCUUUGUUUUGUUUUUCCCCUAACGGGAUCUCCAAAAUUGUUGUGCUCUAAAACUACUCCAAAGUACCAACAUCACCUCUACAGCACAACAACACACCUGGGCCCCUUAGUACCUUGCCCCAUGAUGGGAGGGAAAGACCUUGUACAAGAACAACAAAAUUCCCCAGGG
Molecule: long non-coding RNA, 516 nt
Organism: Mustela lutreola (European mink)
Lineage: Eukaryota; Metazoa; Chordata; Mammalia; Carnivora; Mustelidae
Exons: 3
Source: RefSeq, a predicted model, not a curated record